This 265-nucleotide long non-coding RNA is filed under the name Lathyrus oleraceus (garden pea). Its description in RNAcentral is "Pisum sativum (pea) long non-coding RNA (PSAT_LNC026751)". Lineage: Eukaryota; Viridiplantae; Streptophyta; Magnoliopsida; Fabales; Fabaceae. The record is from RNAcentral.
GGCUUGUCUACUCUCGGUGGAGGCUUAAGCAUUGGUUUGUUAUGCGCAUUAGAAAGGAUUAAAUAGUGUUCUUUCUGAAAAGAGUUUUGGUCACACGGGGGUGACAAGUUGAAUUAAUAUGUUGGAUGUUUUGAUUGGUUUCGGUCGCACGAGGGCGAGAAAAGGAUAUGUUUGAUGUGUUGAGAUGUUUUUUGGUUGGAUGACGAUUACUCGGAUAAUCGAGUAAGACAACUUGUAUCCUAAUAGUCGGGAAAGGGAAUAGAAG